CCCGUCUCCUCCAAAGAAGAUGGAUGGGCGCAGAAGAACCUCCACCUGGAGCUUGCUUCAAAUGCAGCAAAUCCAGCCACAGCAGAAAAAACCUGCCUUUUACCUGACUACCGCCAAGAUCCUGUCCAGACUGUGGAUAAGCAGGACACUGGGAGCUGAUGGCCCCACUUUGCCAAGACAAGACACCUGAAUGUUCCCGGGAAAAGAGCGCUGCUUCUGCAUCAAGGAAUCUGGCCUGGUGGAAACUAAUAUUGAGUCUCUCCACAAACUGUCUGAAGGUCUCCACCAAUACAACCAGGGCACAUCUCCAUUCCAUUCUUUCUGGCAGUCUUCACUCUUCCCGUGGCUAGCCCCAUUCAUAGGGCUGGUGUUAAUAAUCUCUUUUUCUCCUAGCAACUUGCCUUCUCCACUCCCUCCCAGAACAGAUUCCUGAGGUCUCCAGGAUGGCAGUUAACUGAACGCCUCUUCACCCAUACCUCCAGCUGAAUGUGAGCCCAGUGACCCCUGACUCCCCCUCCCCAUGUUGUCCCAUGCCAACAGGAAAUAACCAUAUUUGAGCUAGUGCCCAUAUACCCAAGAAGGUCGGGAUGUUCAUCUGGAAUCUCCAGGUCAGCCCCAUUUCUCUCUCUCCAAACCCUGCUCUCUCAGAAAAACCACCCAAAACUCCAGUUCUACAUCCCUGGCGGCUGUGGCAGCUCCUCCCCUGAAGCUUAAGCAUUGUAAGUGGUUACAAACCCAGCUUGUGGUGGACACGUCAUCACCCAGCACCUACAGGGUGUUUAAGCUCCCUCCUUUAGACUGGCCAUGUGAUUUUUUCCCUGCCCCUUCCCCUGCCUCGAUCUCUGGGGCCUGGAGGAGUCACCCGGGAGUUGCUUUGUUCAGAAUAAACCUGGCCUUUUACCUUUUAAA
This is a long non-coding RNA of Peromyscus eremicus (cactus mouse), 909 nucleotides long. RefSeq lists it as uncharacterized. The transcript has 2 exons. Lineage: Eukaryota; Metazoa; Chordata; Mammalia; Rodentia; Cricetidae. The record is from RefSeq and is a predicted model, not a curated record.